RNAcentral lists this microRNA (23 nucleotides) under Pteropus alecto (black flying fox). Its description in RNAcentral is "pal-miR-4657-5p". Lineage: Eukaryota; Metazoa; Chordata; Mammalia; Chiroptera; Pteropodidae. RNAcentral also lists the same sequence under 2 other names. The record is from miRBase by way of RNAcentral.
AAUGUGGAAGUGGUCUGAGGCAU